RNAcentral lists this ribosomal RNA (502 nucleotides) under uncultured bacterium. Its description in RNAcentral is "bacterial SSU rRNA". It matches the Rfam family "Bacterial small subunit ribosomal RNA", at positions 28 to 521 of the family's 1533-position model. The record is from RNAcentral.
GAUGAACGCUAGCGGCAGGCUUAAUACAUGCAAGUCGUGGGGCAGCAGGUUUGUAGCAAUACAGAUGCUGGCGACCGGCAAACGGGUGCGGAACACGUACAGAACCUUCCUUUGAGCGGGGAAUAGCCCAGAGAAAUUUGGAUUAAUACCCCAUAGUAUAAUGAAGUGGCAUCACUUUAUUAUUAAAGAUUUAUCACUCGAAGAUGGCUGUGCGGCUGAUUAGGUAGUUGGCGGGGUAAAGGCCCACCAAGCCUGCGAUCAGUAACUGGUGUGAGAGCACGACCAGUCACACGGGCACUGAGACACGGGCCCGACUCCUACGGGAGGCAGCAGUAAGGAAUAUUGGUCAAUGGAGGCAACUCUGAACCAGCCAUGCCGCGUGGAGGAUGAAGGUCCUCUGGAUUGUAAACUUCUUUUAUAUGGGACGAAAAAAGGCUUUUCUAAGUCGUCUGACGGUACCAUAUGAAUAAGCACCGGCUAACUCCGUGCCAGCAGCCGCGGU